AUUCUUUUGCAGUAGCAGUAUCGUAGCCUAUGAGGUCUAUCCGAGGUGUGAUUUUUGUUAGUUAAAAAAUGUACCCAAUUUCCAUCUGAACGAUUUGAAAUAUAAUCGGCCAAGACAAUUUUUGCCAGUCUCUUUGGAGA
This is a small nuclear RNA of 140 nucleotides. Its record names the gene U4. It matches the Rfam family "U4 spliceosomal RNA". Rfam says of the family: U4 small nuclear RNA (U4 snRNA) is a component of the major U2-dependent spliceosome. The structure of U4 snRNA from yeast and human has been reported. The record is from Ensembl.